This 132-nucleotide non-coding RNA is filed under the name uncultured eukaryote. The record is from RNAcentral.
AAGAGAGAAUGAAAGAAAUGAAGAUUGAUGUUUUUUUUUUCUCCGUGUUUUUUUCUCGUCUUUUUUGCCCCCCCCCCCCAUGCUUGACCAACUAAAACAGGAUGCGAAGCGCAUGAUUGAGUGUCUGCAUCU